Myxocyprinus asiaticus (Chinese sucker) is the source of this 4115-nucleotide long non-coding RNA. RefSeq lists it as uncharacterized. NCBI's taxonomy places the organism in Eukaryota, Metazoa, Chordata, Actinopteri, Cypriniformes, Catostomidae. The record is from RefSeq and is a predicted model, not a curated record. The transcript has 5 exons.
AAUAUGUAGGACACAUUUUGCCACACUGUCAUAUUGUAUAAUACUGUCACUAUUUUCCCACAGGGGAAAGCAGCUACAGAAUGUCCUCUCUGGUCUUGAGAUCUCUUGUGGUCAAGGAAGGGAACUGCUCUGGCAAACUCAGAGUGCUGAGAGAGUCCAUGCCAAUCAUCUAUCUGCAGAAAGGGAGAGCUGGGUUCAGACCACACAGGUGCUGGAAGAGAUGGAGAGAGAUUUGGUGAUCUCGUUCCCCUCUGCUCUGCCUCCUGAGGAGAGACGUCAGUAUCAGUGGGAUGUGCUCUCAUUGUACAAACAGAACCAAGAUCUCAGCACAUCCUUAGAGAGCUGAAAGGAAGAACUUAUGAGUGCUGAAAGAAAGCUAGUGGAUUUUGAGGAUGAGAAGAAGUGGCUAGAGGAAAAGGUUGACAGCAUUUGUGGCAUAAUGCUGGUUACCACAAAAAUAAUUAAACUAUUCCCUCCUUAAUACAAAUAAAAGCAAAAAUUGUUAGGGCAAGACAUUUACAAUAGAAGUGAAUGGGGAUUAAUUUAGUGGGAUAAAAUCAGGGAUUUACUGCCGUUACAGCGUUGACCAGACUACAGGGUUUACUGGCGCUGUAUUGUUAUGACAACAACUUUGUAAUAUUGGAUAUAACUCACUCUAAAAUCUUGUUAGCACAUGUAAUGUUUAUGUCUUGCAGUUAUACUUUUGAGACAGUGUGUAUUUUAAUGUUUAUAGACUGGACACAUUUACUUCCAUUGUAAGCGCCUUACUGUAACCACAACUUUUGCUUUUAAAAAAAAGAAAAUAAACGAGAGACGAGUCGAAAUUAUUGUUUGUGGUAAUCAACAUUAUUACCAAAUCAUUCCUUAAACAUUCAUUAAAACAUUCAAUAAAAACCCCAUGAAAAUGCUUGAUGGGUGCAUUUCCCUUUCAAGAACGUAACUUUGACGCUACAUCAGAAGCUACUCUAUGGGAGCACCCCCCAGCGGGUGCUGACUUUGAUACCCAAUACCAUCACGCCAAUUAGAUUGGCUGGUGAUGCUUGGCAUUCAACCUAUGCUUACGUCUUUGUGGGCAUAGCCUAUAAGCUGGAGCCAAGCAUCACACCAUCAGAAUUUUGCUUAGACAACUCUCUUGCUCUGGAACCCUAAAACAAAGCUUUGCGGGAUAGAGAAAUAGAGAUUUUGAGGAGGAUUUGUCGCCUGCUUGAUGCCACGUUGUGUCAGCUGGGCCUCUUUGGUGAUGCUAUUGAUGCUUUCACAGAGAGGUUUCAAUUAGCUAAGAAGCAAUUGCUGGUUUAUAGAAACAUCCUGCUAAGGCGGAGUAGUCCUGUAACCCAGACAGUUUGCUCGCUCUCUAGUCUGGGACCAGCUAAACAGAGUGCUACCAUCUCUAACCCUGUUCCUUCCCAUAGAAUGGUGUCAGAGCUGCCAGCGAGCAAGCAAGCCCAGUGGCUUGCGAACGUCUGUGUGACAGACUAGAGCAGGCGUGUGUUCUGAAUGGUGUGUUUAUAUGUACUGCCUAAUUGGUAGGAGGUAGAGCUGACAGAUCAGCUGAGCAUCAGCUAAAGAGCCUGCUGGCAAUACCAUGGUCUGCCUGAACAACGCUUAAGCUCCAUUUCAGUCAUUAAAGCUCCAUUUCUUGGCUGCAGUCAUAAAGCAGUUGUUUAUGAGGGGAGGCUGUUGUUAAGGCAGAGCACUGAUUCCAUUGCGUCUUCUCCGUGUGUCUGAUCAUGGAUAGGACAAAUCGAUGGCUUGUUCAAAAACAGGAGAUACCGAUGAAAACCAAAAACUCAGUCAUGUCAGCUCUCUCUUUUUUUUGUAUCCUUUACAUUGUGUGAAAGUUUCCGGGAUUUACGCCUGCAUGGUUUACCGGCAUUAAAGGUAUGUUUUCAUGAAAAUAAAGUUGAAAUACUGGAUAACUUUACACAGGCAAGGCUAGUAGGCAGAGUCACACCAGAGUCAUGUUAACACAUUGUGCUUAAUUAUUGUGGCUAUAUUUUUGAAAAACAGUGUGUAUUUAAUGUUUUGUGUAUUGGACUAGUUUUCUUUCAUUGUAUGUGCCUUUCGGCAUGCAAUAUUUUUUCUUUAGAAAAAGAGGGAUGAGUCUAAAUAAUUUCCUGUGGUAAUCAACAUUAUGCCACAAAUGCUGUCAAUAGAACUUGUAUUAAACUCGAAGCACUCCUUGUAAGAAUAAAUGUCUAUGAAUUAAUGUAAAGUCUCAAAGCAGUGCUGGUUUUUAUGGUAAUGCCUGCUCUAAGUGCUGUUCUCACUUCAUUCUCAAAAGUUUGAAUGAAACAUCCCAAAAGUUUUGCAGAUUUGAAAACUGUUCUAUUGUCUUCACUAUUCACAUUUUUGUCCCAUGAUUGAUACAACAAAGUGCCCAAAAACUUUUUUGUUUUCAUCUCCGCUCAUAAUGUGAUGUUCAGUCAUCUCUGUUCUGUGUAUGUUUUGGAAGUAGCUCUUGACUGGCUGCCAUAAUUCAGUGGUGAUCUUUCCUCUGCUUUGCACCAGGGACGUGCCAGUUCUAUGCUCAGAGGUACAGAUUCUCCUCGCCAAGGAUGUUAAAAAGAGUGUACAGACUGGUGAAGAACAGAAAGGCUUCUACAGCUGUUAUUUUUUGAUCACCAAAAAGAGAAGAUUGUUGUGGCCCAUACUGGACCUGAGACCUUUCAAUUGAACACUUACGUGGUCUUUGUUGAUGAUGGUGAUUCAGAGACAGAUAUUGUCUCAUGUCCGCCCCCUGGACUGGUUUAUAUCAAUUGACCUGAAAGAUGCAUAAUUUCAUGUGCAGAUUACCCCUCAUCACAGGCCAUUCUUGAGAUUGGCCAUCGAGGGGACUGCAUACCAGUUCAAAGUCCUACCUUUUGGGUUGUCCCUGUCUCCUCGCACAUUCAUGAAAUGAAAGCUGAGCAGCAUUUGUGUAUUGAAUUACCUCAAUAAUUGGCUGUUGCUAACUUAAUUAGAGGCACAGGUAUGCAAGCACAGGGAUCUGUUGCUCAUAGAUUUGGAGCAGGUGGGACUGAGGGUCAACUGGAAAAAAAGUUUGUUGGUGCCCAUUUAGAAAGUUUCCUUCCUAUGAAUGAAACUCGACUCAGUAGCCAUGUCGGGUCAUUUGAGAAAUGGCCCAAAAGACACUGGUUCCCUGAGAUGGUACAGACGGGAACCGGCUGAACAGUAAACAUAAAGUUUUCUUGUCAAACUUAACUUAAAACAAACAUAAACAAACACAGACACACAUGCAAUGCGGCCACGUACAUCUCUUUCUCUCGAACUGGUGCCUCCGGCUCCCCUUUUUCACGCUCUCUCACUGGUCAGCUGAUUCAACGCAGGCCGUGCAUCAUCACGGCCCGGCCAUGCCCUCCUGCUCAUCACACUCCAUGCCUAGUUCAUGCUGUCAUGCUAAAGCAGAUACUACAAAAUACUGGAAUUUAUAUACAUGUUUCAUUUCAAUUUAUCACUGAAAUUCUUAUUCUGAUAAUAUUUGUAAUUGAAUAUUUUGUAUCAAAUUUGAAAAAAUGCAACAAAGCAUUUUCACUAGUGGUUUCUGACCCUUGGGCCGUAAUGUAGAUUUCAUAACAUUUGCUAAAACCGAUCCUGUAACAGUAUGUCUUCUUGAAUCUUCAUAACAUUCAUGCAAACCUUGACCCAAUGCAUCCUUUCAUUGACUGCCUCGUGUUCUGACACCUUUGGCUCCUGGCAUGAAAUGUCUGUUUGUUUGUAUGGCAUCUUUGAUUGACAGUGAGGAGUGUGAGGAGGCUUACAGUGACCUGCUGUCACUGUACGAGACCAGAAAACAACAAAACGCAGGCAUUAAGCAGACCUCAGUCUGACCUCUCAGUUAACUGGUGAGAAGAACUUGGACAAGGGAGAGUCAUCCUCCUGUACACUAGAGGGCAAUACUGAGUGCAGACCAAACAGCUUACUCCAGUUUGAGGACAAGGCAGGUGUUAUUCUGCAGAGGAUCUCUUGGCUGUAGCAGGACAGGGCUGCUCUGUGUAUCCCACAGCAGGGCGAGAUGGUAAAGUCUCACGCACCUACAGAAGUUCUCGUAAAAAGUACCAGGAGCAGCUGUGGCGACUGGAGAAGCAAAUUGCAGUCAUGAGUGAACGUCACGC